This 253-nucleotide ribosomal RNA is filed under the name uncultured bacterium. RNAcentral describes it as "partial 16S ribosomal RNA". It matches the Rfam family "Bacterial small subunit ribosomal RNA", at positions 524 to 776 of the family's 1533-position model. The record is from RNAcentral.
UACGUAGGGUGCGAGCGUUAAUCGGAAUUACUGGGCGUAAAGCGUGCGCAGGCGGUUUUGUAAGCCAGAUGUGAAAUCCCCGGGCUUAACCUGGGAAUGGCAUUUGGGACUGCAAGGCUGGAGUGUGGCAGAGGAGACUGGAAUUCCCGGUGUAGCGGUGAAAUUCGUAGAUAUCUGGAGGAACCCCGGUGGCGAAGGCGGCAUCCUGGACCGACACUGAGGCUGAGGAGCGAAAGCCAGGGGAGCAAACGGG